CCAAUAGCGUAUAUUAAAGUUGCUGCAGUUAAAAAGCUCGUAGUUGAAUUUCGGGACCAAUCUGUCGGUCGUGCCUCGGUACGUACUGUCAUCGUUGGUUUCUCCCUUCUGACGAACCAUGAUGUCAUUUAUUUGGUGUCGUGGGGAAUCAGGACUGUUACUUUGAAAAAAUUAGAGUGUUUAAAGCAGGCUCACGCUUGAAUACAUUAGCAUGGAAUAAUGAAAUUGGACGUUUGAUUCUAUUUUGUUGGUUUCUAGGAUCGACGUAAUGAUUAAUAGGGAUAGUUGGGGGCAUUAGUAUUCAAUUGUCAGAGGUGAAAUUCUUGGAUUUAUUGAAGACUAACUACUGCGAAAGCAUUUGCCAAGGAUGUUUUCAUUAAUCAAGAACGAAAGUUAGGGGAUCGAAGACGAUCAGAUACCGUCGUAGUCUUAACCAUAAACUAUGCCGACUAGGGAUCGGAUGAUGUUAAUUUUUUAAUGACUCAUUCGGCGCCUUACG
RNAcentral lists this ribosomal RNA (499 nucleotides) under uncultured Glomeromycotina. RNAcentral describes it as "partial small subunit ribosomal RNA". It matches the Rfam family "Eukaryotic small subunit ribosomal RNA", at positions 591 to 1092 of the family's 1831-position model. The record is from RNAcentral. Lineage: Eukaryota; Fungi; Glomeromycota.